UAAAGGUGACUCUAAUGCAGAAAUAGGAAAGUAAACUAAUGCAACUAGGGCGCUAGGCCCUUACCGCGAUCCUCGCCGUGUGAACUCGCGCUCGGCCCUGUAGUAAAAUAGGGGUGAGAACUAACUUCCUUAGUUCCCAGUGGGUUCGGCCGCCGACUCCGCCGAUCUCCCCACUAGGUCCAAGUGGGCACUAGUAGAUAAUCGAUAGAUAGAUAGAUAAGGAAAGCGGUAAAUGACAGAAGUAAAGCUACUCUACUAUGCCCAAUCAUAAAUAUAUGAAUGCAUGUACAAUGAAAUAGGUAAGCAACUAACCUGUUAUCAUGUCCAAAGGUAAAGCUAUUCACUCGUUCAUUAACCUUAUUUACUUGUUCAUUAAUCUCAUGGCUUACCCGAAGGCUCGCCUACAGCUCACUAGCCAUCUCGACGCGUAGGGAGAAUUAACUCAUACUACGAACCCGAGACCGUCUGGCGGGGCCAAAAUAGGCAAUCCCUUGGGACCCAAAAUAGGCAAUCCCACGUGACCAACUCCGGAGCGCACUACUUGUGUGGGGCUUCCAUCACAAGAUUUAAAACAGACCGUGAGCAUGAUCCAAUCCUCUAAGCUCGAGGAUACCCUGUCCUCUAGGGUCACAAUCAUCAUAUAGUCCAUAGGUUUCAUAUACACUACGACUCACAUAUGUCACUUGUUCUUUUGUUUACUAUCAACUAGAUGCCACUCGUUCGUUACAAGUUUCCAAUGCAAUAGCCAAUACAUUACUAAAUUCCCAUCCACACUUAUCAUCUCAUUAUAGGGUUCCACAUCACAUAUAUAAACCUCAAGCAUGGUAGAUAUAAGUACUAAGUCAAAUACAUUAUUCUACCAAAGAACAUGCAAGGUAUAGGACCAAACCAUCAUUUAUCACCCUAUAAUGCAAGAUGUCAAUAUGCAAUUUGAUCAAUAUAAAACUUAGACAUAAAAGGGAGCCCGGCUGCUUCGGGAUGGACACCACCUACCUUUUAUAGCGUUCCGAUUGCUCGUCGUCACUCGCAAUCGGCCUCCUGCGGCGCACACCGCACGGCUCGACCCAACUCACGCGCGACUGCCAAAUGACCUCCUAUCCGCGAUCUGGAAAUUAAAGGUCUUCGGUUCUUCGUUAUGAUGCUCGGGAUGCGAUCCCACGAUUUAUGGAAGCCGCCUCAGCUCCUCGGGUCAAUACGAACCCAUGAACACUUGUUUAAGCCGGAACGUCGCACCCGCUCGACGAAUCGACGAACCGUCGCUUCCCACGCGUUCAGCGACCUAUCAAUUAGGUUUACAGAGGGUUAAAAGAGAUCAAACCCAACUAUUUACAAAAACCUCAUUUUUGAAGCCCUAGAUGCCAUUACCACUAAAUAUUCCAAAUCAACCAAAGAUUUAGGUAAUAAUCAUCUCAUUAGCAUCCUAGGAUUCCAAAAACACCAUUUCUAGAGAUCAAAACCCAUGAUCUACCAAGAAACCCACUUUAAGCCCUAGGUUUACAAUUAGGCUAAAUCCACCAUUAAAACUUAGGAUUCAAGCAUCAAACCUUUAAUUAGCAUGCUAGAAUACCUCUAAACCCAUUCUUAGAGUUCAAAACCCAAACUAUAGAAAGCUACCAUUGUCGAGCAUCAAAAGCUUACCUUAGAGCUUGCUCCAAUGGCCUAAAGAGGAAGAAGAAGAAGAUGAAGCCCACUUCUUCAAGCUUUCUCCUCCAUCUCCACCUUCUUGCUCCACUUCUUAGAGAGAGAAAGAGAGAGUUUUAGAGAGAGAGAGAGGGGCUACGGUUGAGGGAAAUGAGAAAGGGAGAAAGCCAUCCCCUCUCUUUGUCUCUAAGUCAUGUAACAAAUACAAUAAGCCCCUUCAACUCGUAGCCUCUCAAACAGCCCAAAAUGGGCAUUUUCGGGUUCGGGGACCGGUCUCUCCAUGCAGGGACCGGUCCCCAAUGGACCAGAAAACUGCAAUUUUCAGCUUUUGCCUAUUUUGCUCCGUUUCGCUCCGUUUUCGCCCGUUUGACUUCAGAUUCGUCUCAAAUCGAACCGAGACUCUCAAAACAUGAUUUCAAGCGUAUUUACAUCAUGUUUCAUCCUCGCAAAUGCCUGAUUUAGUUUGCGGCACAACAUAUCCUUUCGGGUUCCGUUUUCACGCCUACGCGCACCGAAACGCUCGAAAGCUUUCGAACUUCACCGAAACCAUCCAAAUGGCUUUCCAACCAAAUGUACACCGUAACCUCAUGAUUUUAGAAGUCCGGUACCUUACAUCCUCCCCUCCUUAAUAAGAGUUUCGUCCUCAAAACUUAAACAACCCCAAUUCACACCUCAAUUUAACUUAUCGAGAAAUCGAGGGUUCCAAUGCACUUUCGCAUCUCGGAGUGGUCUUUCACUCAUUGGAACUAUUUAAAGGUUCGCUAAGGAGGAUGUGAGGCCAACUUCACUCACAUUGGCUAAACGCAACUCCAAAAGUGCAUUACUACCUUCGCAAGCCAUGGUGGCAGCGCAAAUCGAUAUAUGACGACCCCUCGCGCUCCAACACCGCUCGCUACAGAAUCCAAGGAUUACACUCCGAUCCGAUCACCGGUAUUGCCUAAAAGCAAUAUCAUUGGUGCAUCGACAAAUCGCGAGUGUUCCAAUCCUCAACCCGAACCUUGCUCAAUCAUGAGAUGGCCCACUCUAGCACAUCUCGAAUCUCAAUCCUUGAAUGAGCAUUAUCUGCAGGCUCCAAUCCAUUGGAGAGCAUCAACUUCAAUCCUCACGUGGCUAUCCACCAUCUAAACGUCUCCUAGAGAUCACUUUACUUCCAAUCCCAUUUGCCACGGCCAACGUCAAGCUUGCUCUCACAAUGGAUUUACCCAAGCACCCGUUCGCAAAUCCCGGCCAAACCUCUCAACAGAGUUAUCGACUAAAUCACUUAUCACGCCAAUCCCGGCCAAACCUCUCAACAGAGUUAUCGACUAAAUCACUUAUCACGGUUUCCACAGGUGGACUACAGGCCACCAAUCUUACGUAGGUCUACCGCCUAUCCUGUCUCGAUACUCGUACCGUCUCUCGCUCGCAAGCGCAGACCCAAUUAUAACCGGACGAAAUUCUCACUUGGGAAUUCGCACACACUUGAACCAGGGGUAAUUAUAACCCCAAACUCAAUCAAGUCCUCGGGUUGGGUCACUACACACUCGGUGUAUCCUCGAUCUUAUGAUCAAAUACGUGGCAUUCCACGCUCCCGGGUCUAAGCUCGGACUACCGACCUGACCAAACUAUGCCCUACCCAUAGAUAUCAGGCCGCUGUCACUUGCAGCUGACUGCGCCUGCCCAAAGGGCCCAGGCUCCACAAUCCACAAUUGGUCCAGAUACGGGUCGUCUUCAAGCACUACCCGCCGUCGUCGUCUUACACGACAUACUCUAUUGAGUUACACGUACCAUUACUGGCUCCUAAGUGCCUAAGCACCUAGUGUGAGCCAUCAGCCCUACGAGUGUUCCAUGGCCCGCUUCACACUUAGCAACGCUAAAGUGCUACAGCCAACACACUCUCUCGGCUGAAGCAAAUCCGUACUCUACGAGUAUCUACACUCACACGUCGUACGCCUCUCUAACGCUCUACUCCGAAUUCGAGCCUUAGGCACUUUUGCCCUAGCACAUGGCCACACAAGCAUGACUCAGCCAUCUCAAUUUGAGGUCGUAACUCGAUAAUCAACCAACCACUCUUUCAGCAGUGAUCCUACUUUCACUGUUUAAUCUACCGGAACUACAUCCGAGACACUCGAAUUGCUCGGUUAUGCACAAGUAUCACGGCUCAACUCUCGCAACCAACUACCCGUUGUCUUGAGAGUCGCUUCACCUUUUCGUCUUUCCCACGAGUCUCACUUCCUGUCUAGAAUCCACUACUAGCAAUUUGCUAGUACCGUCUAACCCUCCAUCUACUCCAGCAAGCGUUACACCCUCACGCGCAAGCAUGCUCGGGUAUUUACACUUAUCCGUCACUUUAGUCCUUACUACGUCGAUGCAUCGACGAUAGCAAGCGACCACACGACGAAUGCAUGCAAGGUCCUUCGACCAAGGUCGCGUACUCACGGACGCUCGUUGCCCGCCGCGAACCCUCCGUCGUCACUUCCUCACCACUCGUUCUCUAGACCACUCUGUAGACUUCACAUCCACAAACUGUCUCGGAGAGGAAGAGGCUACCUCCUAUAACGCGACCCUGCAAUCGACCGCACGAAUGCCUAUCUCACCACGCAACGCACAUUACGUGCUAGGUGAGAACUCCCACAAUCUCGCAUCUCAAGGAAGUCAACAAAGGCACCUCCGAGGUUCGGGAUUGCGAUUGGAAUCAAGAAGGUGCAUUGCCCCAAACUGGGCAAUUUUGAGCUACGGGGACCGGUCCUUGCCCGAGAGACCGGUCCUCGGGAGACCGGUUCCUGCUGAGAGACCGGUUCCCGAGAGUGGCAUUUCCGGGACUUAGCUAAUUUCAGCCCUUUUUGUCAAUCUCGCACACGGGGGACCGGUUCCUCUGGCCCAGGGACCGGUUGCAUCAAGCAACCCCGCACCAAUCAGCUACGGGGACCGGUCUCUCCCUGCCAGGGACCGGUCCCCGAGAGCAACUUCCAACAAGUGCAGGCUUUGCACUAUUGGCUCUCGCGGACUCAAUUCCAAUGCACUCUUGGUGAUUUAGACAUCUUCGGCUUUUCCGAAGCCUACACACUCGACAAUUAGUCGAUUUCCGACGAAGUCAAAUCCUCGGAUUUCAAGAAUCCACUUCCCCUACAUAAACGACUUUAACAACGCCCGGCCGAAAUCUCCGCACAAGCAAUUCGGCCAUGUCCUCGUCAUCCCGCGCUACGUUCGGGACGCAACGCACGACACGGGAGAAUUCCCGCUCGUAUCGCCUCACGGUGCUGUUUACCUGCCACAGCUUCGAAAACCCUUCUGAAGCUUCCUCGCUCACCGUCGGGGAAGUGAACGGAGAAUACCCAUUCCCGAACUUAUCCCAGACCAUAGGAGGGAUACCAGGCAAUCAGUUCCGUCGAAUGCCUUUCCACCACACCUUUGCCGACUGUUUACAAGCAGCGUACGGCUAGGUGUGCCCUUCCUCACUCUACAACGCAUAGAUCCCCAAAGGGAGUCUCGCUCUCGGUUCGUCACCAGCAGCUUGCCGGCACCGACCAAUCACCAAUUUCUUUAGGUAGGCGACAUACCACCACGACUUAUGCAUGCUGGGUGACUUCUCUGACCUGCAUCCUGGUCUCUACUAUACCAAUAUGUAAAUAAUAGUAAAAGACCACAAGUAAAUGCAUACAAUUGCUCAAACUACUUCAUGCUAGAAUGUAUGAUUGCUUUAAUUAAAUCAUACCUACGGUAACAUCACCAACAGCAGCAGGUCCCUCGACGUGAGCCGCGUAUCCAGGGCCGUUUUGCGCCUCCUGUGAAUCCUCCGGCUGCUCGACCACCCCCAGCCCUCCAGACUGUGCCACAGGCUGCACAUCCACCAUCUGUCCAGAAGAGGUGAAUGUCGACACUGUCGGCAGGAGUUGUCCAUCACCCAUGGGGCAACCAUGUCUCACGUGGCCAAACUGCCCGCAAUGAAAACACCUUCCCUUUCGUAGCGCACACCGCCGCGCCUGGUAGGAUCCUCCACCAAUCACACACCCCGCAGAUACGGUAGUAGCAGACGAAACUCCACCAAACUGUCGCUGAAUCUCUGAGGCGGAUGCAACUGAUGGGGCAGGUGGCACUCCUUCCGCGCACUGACGGGCCAUAUGUCCCGCCCGACCACACUUGAAGCACCGUCCCGCCCGAUCCCUACAAUUCCCCGCGCGAUGUUCUCCACCGCAGAUCACGCACCGCAUAGGUCCUUGUCUAAUGGACCGCCCCUUUUGGUACUUCGAGGCCUUUUUGGAGCUAGACUGUCCCUCCGAACCACCACGAGGUCGUUUCUUCACUCCACUCUCCUUGAACGCCUUGCGUUCCUGUCUCACUUCCCCAGCUGCCGCAUCGAGUAUCAUAGGACCCGAAGCCGCCAGAGGGACACUAGCCGGCAGGGGAUGCGCCACCGCCGGAGUCACCAAAAUGCUCACGCCCUCAGGCGCAUCAGACGCGCGAGCCGAGGGCGCGGGCGGACCAUGGCCUUCAGUUGUUGUCACAGCCGUCGUCGCCACUUGUCGCUCCUAAAGCUCUUGGAGCCGCUCGAUCUGACUUCCUUGGCGUUGAAUCACGCCGAUAAGCGUAGUCAUCUGCGCUCAUAAUUCUUGCACUUCACUUGACCCAGCUCGCUCAGGCACCUCGGGAGGCGGUGCCGGAACGGUUCUACGCGCGUAGUGUCUCCUUGGUGCCAUUAGCUCAUGAAACACAACAACUCGGCUAAUUACCUUAACCUGCUAACCUCGUCGCAACUAUUAGACGACACGACUCAAUCGGGCGAAAGUCAUACAAGGGUGCCUAUUCUCACCACUCAGUUUCAUGUUGUAUGCAUCCAACAUGAAUACCCUCGGGUGAGAAUAAACAAAACCUUGAGUCCACCUCUAACAUCCGUCUUAGAGGUUUACCAACUUGACCCAAUCGAUCCAACUUUCGCCACCGCAUAGGUUUACGUCACUCACGCACCUAUAACCUUAGGGUUCACCGUCCUAGGGUCUCCUAGGUCCAUCCUAAACUUCUCUCUUUACUUGCUCUUAAUUGCUCUGAUACCACUUUAUUUGUCACGUCCCGGGACUGCUACCAAUUUGGCUCGGCCCGGGCGCGUCGAACAGACGCCGGACGGACAGCACCUCCCCUGUCCGCCCAAGGCUAACAACGAGAUUGUGUACAACAAGUUCCUAGGAAAAUAACUUGAAUACAUACACAAUCGAUAACUACAACGAGAGCACAAUCAGUGCAAACAACCAAGAGCAAGAUACAAGUAUAGAACAUACAAGUAAUGAUAAAGAGAGGAACAUCUAUCUAUUACAUUCAUUCAGCCUUUAUAAUACAACUUGAUUAUACAUUAAGCUUCUAAACAUAAUAUAAAGCUUACAUCUUUCAAAAUAUAAACAUUAGCUUACAUUCAUUCCAGUAUAUCUCACAUCCUAUACAUCAUCUACUCUCAAGCAUAUAAAGGUGACUCUAAUGCAGAAAUAGGAAAGUAAACUAAUGCAACUAGGGCGCUAGGCCCUUACCGCGAUCCUCGCCGUGUGAACUCGCGCUCGGCCCUGUAGUAAAAUAGGGGUGAGAACUAACUUCCUUAGUUCCCAGUGGGUUCGGCCGCCGACUCCGCCGAUCUCCCCACUAGGUCCAAGUGGGCACUAGUAGAUAAUCGAUAGAUAGAUAGAUAAGGAAAGCGGUAAAUGACAGAAGUAAAGCUACUCUACUAUGCCCAAUCAUAAAUAUAUGAAUGCAUGUACAAUGAAAUAGGUAAGCAACUAACCUGUUAUCAUGUCCAAAGGUAAAGCUAUUCACUCGUUCAUUAACCUUAUUUACUUGUUCAUUAAUCUCAUGGCUUACCCGAAGGCUCGCCUACAGCUCACUAGCCAUCUCGACGCGUAGGGAGAAUUAACUCAUACUACGAACCCGAGACCGUCUGGCGGGGCCAAAAUAGGCAAUCCCUUGGGACCCAAAAUAGGCAAUCCCACGUGACCAACUCCGGAGCGCACUACUUGUGUGGGGCUUCCAUCACAAGAUUUAAAACAGACCGUGAGCAUGAUCCAAUCCUCUAAGCUCGAGGAUACCCUGUCCUCUAGGGUCACAAUCAUCAUAUAGUCCAUAGGUUUCAUAUACACUACGACUCACAUAUGUCAC
RNAcentral lists this long non-coding RNA (7755 nucleotides) under Ananas comosus (pineapple). RNAcentral's name for it is "long non-coding RNA (ACOM_LNC035639)". The record is from RNAcentral. Lineage: Eukaryota; Viridiplantae; Streptophyta; Magnoliopsida; Poales; Bromeliaceae.